UACGGAGGGUGCAAGCGUUAUCCGGAUUUAUUGGGUUUAAAGGGUCCGUAGGCGGACUCGUAAGUCAGUGGUGAAAUCUCACAGCUUAACUGUGAAACUGCCAUUGAUACUGCGGGUCUUGAGUGUUGUUGAAGUAGCUGGAAUAAGUAGUGUAGCGGUGAAAUGCAUAGAUAUUACUUAGAACACCAAUUGCGAAGGCAGGUUACUAAGCAACAACUGACGCUGAUGGACGAAAGCGUGGGGAGCGAACAGG
RNAcentral lists this ribosomal RNA (253 nucleotides) under uncultured bacterium. Its description in RNAcentral is "partial 16S ribosomal RNA". It matches the Rfam family "Bacterial small subunit ribosomal RNA", at positions 524 to 776 of the family's 1533-position model. The record is from RNAcentral.